UGCAAGCGUUAUCCGGAUUCACUGGGCGUAAAGCGCACGUAGGCGGAUUGUUAAGUCAGGGGUGAAAUCCUGGAGCUCAACUCCAGAACUGCCUUUGAUACUGAAGAUCUUGAGUUCGGGAGAGGUGAGUGGAACUGCGAGUGUAGAGGUGAAAUUCGUAGAUAUUCGCAAGAACACCAGUGGCGAAGGCGGCUCACUGGCCCGAUACUGACGCUGAGGCACGAAAGCGUGGGGAGCAAACAGG
Molecule: ribosomal RNA, 244 nt
Filed under: uncultured bacterium
Lineage: Bacteria
Description: partial 16S ribosomal RNA
Rfam family: Bacterial small subunit ribosomal RNA
Source: RNAcentral